This 749-nucleotide ribosomal RNA is filed under the name uncultured Acidobacteriota bacterium. RNAcentral's name for it is "bacterial SSU rRNA". It matches the Rfam family "Bacterial small subunit ribosomal RNA", at positions 15 to 774 of the family's 1533-position model. Lineage: Bacteria; Pseudomonadati; Acidobacteriota. The record is from RNAcentral.
GAUCCUGGCUCAGAAUCAACGCUGGCGGCGUGCCUCAGACAUGCAAGUCGAACGAUUAAACUUCUCUUCGGAGAAGAUAUAAAGUGGCGCACGGGUGAGUAACACGUAGGUAAUCUACCUUUGAGUGGGGAACAACAGUCGGAAACGACUGCUAAUACCGCAUAAUGCAGCGGCAUCUACGGAUGACAGUUGUUAAAGCGAGCAAUCGCGCUUAAAGAGGAGCCUGCGGCAGAUUAGCUAGUUGGUAGGGUAAUGGCUUACCAAGGCUUCGAUCUGUAUCCGACCUGAGAGGGUGGUCGGACACACUGACACUGAAUAACGGGUCAGACUCCUACGGGAGGCAGCAGUCGGGAAUUUUGGGCAAUGGGCGAAAGCCUGACCCAGCAACGCCGCGUGAAGGAUGAAGUCUUUCGGGAUGUAAACUUCGUAAGAAUGGGAAGAAUAAAUGACGGUACCAUUUGUAAGGUCCGGCUAACUACGUGCCAGCAGCCGCGGUAAUACGUAGGGACCAAGCGUUGUUCGGAUUUACUGGGCGUAAAGGGCGCGUAGGCGGCGUGUUAAGUCAGCUGUGAAAUCUCCAAGCUUAACUUGGAACGGUCAGCUGAUACUGAUGUGCUAGAGUGCAGAAGGGGCAAUCGGAAUUCUUGGUGUAGCGGUGAAAUGCGUAGAUAUCAAGAGGAACACCUGAGGUGAAGACGGGUUGCUGGGCUGACACUGACGCUGAGGCGCGAAAGCUAGGGUAGCAAACG